AUGAUGGCCAUCCCAUCAGUCUCGUUCUCCAACAUCUUGAUACACAACAAUAAGCUUCACGACGUCAGUCAACAACAAACUCCAUUCAGAUUGGAAAUGAUAUCCAGCGCUACAAA
RNAcentral lists this non-coding RNA (116 nucleotides) under Detonula confervacea. Lineage: Eukaryota; Bacillariophyta; Thalassiosirophyceae; Thalassiosirales; Thalassiosiraceae. The record is from RNAcentral.